CUGAUCUCAAAUCAGGUAGGACUACCCGCUGAACUUAAGCAUAUC
RNAcentral lists this ribosomal RNA (45 nucleotides) under Rhizoctonia solani. RNAcentral's name for it is "partial 28S ribosomal RNA". Lineage: Eukaryota; Fungi; Basidiomycota; Agaricomycetes; Cantharellales; Ceratobasidiaceae. The record is from RNAcentral.